CAACUUUUGGCAACGGAUUUCUUGGCUCUCGUAACGAUGGAGAACGCAGCGAAAUGCGAUACGUAUCAUGAAUUGCAGAACUCUGAAUGAUAAAUAUUUGAACGCACAUUGCGCCGGCCUUUUUGGCUGGCAUGUCUUUCUGAGACGUAAUUA
This 153-nucleotide ribosomal RNA is filed under the name Synchytrium macrosporum. Its description in RNAcentral is "5.8S ribosomal RNA". It matches the Rfam family "5.8S ribosomal RNA". Rfam says of the family: 5.8S ribosomal RNA (5.8S rRNA) is a component of the large subunit of the eukaryotic ribosome. It is transcribed by RNA polymerase I as part of the 45S precursor that also contains 18S and 28S rRNA. The record is from RNAcentral. Lineage: Eukaryota; Fungi; Chytridiomycota; Chytridiomycetes; Synchytriales; Synchytriaceae.